Clupea harengus (Atlantic herring) is the source of this 2018-nucleotide long non-coding RNA. The record is from Ensembl. Lineage: Eukaryota; Metazoa; Chordata; Actinopteri; Clupeiformes; Clupeidae.
UUUUUUUAAAGGUCAGCGGGAGAGGACUGAUCUGUAUCAAGGAGCAGUAACCUUGGCGGUAUUCAAAUACAGCGGAUGCUUCUAGCGCCAUGUCUGGUCACUGAGCUUGAAGCAGCGGGGGGGAGGAAGCCAGCAGUGGACUUCCUCCAGGCGCUCAGCCACCUAUGAGUUGCCCUUAAAUUGUGGACUAGCACCAGCAACUAACCUUUCCACGAGCAAUAAAAACGUGCUGGCUCACUUCUUACCCACUGCAAAUACAUGCUUCUCUUAGUCUAGCUGUGGGUGGCUUGUUGUGUCGGUAUAAAUUAUUCUGCGUGUGCUUUGACAUGCAUGCACACACACAAACACAUUUAACCUCUGGGCACAGCAGAGGAGCCUAUGCUAACAAUGGACCCAGAGUUGUCAAAACAUACCCAUGCAAAUCACGGACUCCUAUCUUACGAGCACGCUGGAAAUGUCACAGAGAUUAGGCCGACGCUCUCCCUACCCCCCGGCACCAUGCCGUUCACGGGGAGAGAGCCGUCAAUGUUGAUGGGCUAAGAGACCCAUUAGCGGCUGCAGCCCAAAUUCUCGCUAAACGGAUUAAUAUUUGUGUUGUACCACCAGAGCUCAGUGUACACACAGUGCUCCAAGGUGACGCUGGCAGGGGCACUACAUCAACAAUAAUGAGACGGGAGGUCUCCAGAGGGGAGGGGUGUACGAAAUCAAACAUACGCACUCUUUGAAGCUUCAGCCUUGGCUGAAAUGCCAGCAGUUUCUUGACCAGCGUCUACUGGAAUUGAUGAAUAGCAUGAAGACUGUAGAAGCCAUUUGUUUCGGAACAAUGCAAGCUGGUGACUAACUUUGAUGGAAGGUAUAUGAAGGUUUUUUUUUUUCCUUUUUCAUCUAACAAGAUUAAGAAGUUGCACAACACACCCACACACACACUUUCCUCCCACAUUCACACCAUAUCUGGGAUGGGCCAAGCCUGGGGCAAGGGGGAAAGGGAGCGGCUGUCGCCGUCACAGUAUGGUUCAUAUAUGGUGGGAGGGCAACGAUCACAGAGAAGAUUACUCCGCCAAGCAAAAGUGUGUGCGUAUGUGUAUACGCUCAUACGUGUGUGUGUAUGUGUACAAGUGCAGGCAUUUUCUAAUCAACAUUAGAUGUGACACACAUCUGGCUCAGGGGUGGAGUCAGUGUGUGAGUGGUGUGUGGUGUGUGAGGUAUGUGUAUGUGUGUGGUGUGAGGUGUGUGGUGUGUGGUGUGUGGGUGUGUGUAUGGAUUACUGCCUGCAGAAAUAUUUAUCUUUAUUUAAAUAAACCGAGGAGUGUUUAAUUGAUGAAAACAGAAGGGCUGUGCAUUCCACAUAUCUGUAACUAAUGCUCAGCAGAGUGUCUUUAGAAAAUGGUUUAUGCCAUAUCAAGGUAAAGAGAUUUAGUUUCAUUUUUAAUUCAUUUUGAAGUGUGGGUGGCUUUGGCUCUUUCUAAACCUGCCUGGAGAAUUUAGCAAUAUCAAAAAAAGCUCUACCCAAAAAAAAAUUACACUGAAUGAAAUGAAAUGGAGGCAAGUGAUAAGGAACGUACCAUUUGGUGGGUCACGUCUCUUCUCUGCAAAAACAAAAUUAAGAUGAUUAAAACAAAUGUUGCUUGGCGACGGUCAGGCGAACGCGUUAGUGAACUCGAGUGUGAGUGAGGGAGGGAGAGAGAGAGAGAGACGGCGAGUGCAAAAAGUGUGGCGUUUUAGAAGAAAGGAUUUAGGUCUUCUGAGUUAGUGUGUUUUAUUUAGGUGUUUUUUUAUAGCCCAAAGGACAGGUGUAUAAGUGGAGAAGGUCAGACAAUAAGACAGAGUAUAACGUGACAUAUUUGGCAGAGCGAGAGAGAGACAGAGAAAUAAAGAUAGACUAACAGAAAGAAAGGGGGAAUUUUUAACCAAGCAAGAGAGGAAAGAAAUGCAAAUUAAAGUCUCGUCAGAAGCCAGCCCUAAGUUCCCCUUGCUUAAGAGACACACCAUGGGGCUUUGAGGCUAAGAGAGAGAGAGAG